RNAcentral lists this ribosomal RNA (403 nucleotides) under Fusobacteriota bacterium. RNAcentral's name for it is "Fusobacteria bacterium partial 16S ribosomal RNA". It matches the Rfam family "Bacterial small subunit ribosomal RNA", at positions 355 to 776 of the family's 1533-position model. The record is from RNAcentral. Lineage: Bacteria; Fusobacteriati; Fusobacteriota.
UGGGGAAUAUUGCACAAUGGAGGGAACUCUGAUGCAGCGACGCCGCGUGAACGAAGAAGGCUUUCGAGUCGUAAAGUUCUUUUAUAUGGGAAGAUAAUGACGGUACCAUAACAAAAAGCCCCGGCUAACUACGUGCCAGCAGCCGCGGUAAUACGUAGGGGGCUAGCGUUGUACGGAAUCACUGGGCGUAAAGGGUUCGCAGGCGGAAAUGCAAGUCAGGUGUAAAAGGCAGUAGCUUAACUACUGUAAGCAUUUGAAACUGCAUAUCUUGAGAAGAGUAGAGGUAAGUGGAAUUUUUAGUGUAGCGGUGAAAUGCGUAGAUAUUAAAAAGAAUACCGGUGGCGAAGGCGACUUACUGGGCUCAUUCUGACGCUGAGGAACGAAAGCGUGGGUAGCAAACAGG